UGGGGAAUAUUGCACAAUGGGCGAAAGCCUGAUGCAGCAACGCCGCGUGAGCGAUGAAGGCCUUCGGGUCGUAAAGCUCUGUCCUCAAGGAAGAUAAUGACGGUACUUGAGGAGGAAGCCCCGGCUAACUACGUGCCAGCAGCCGCGGUAAUACGUAGGGGGCUAGCGUUAUCCGGAUUUACUGGGCGUAAAGGGUGCGUAGGCGGUCUUUUAAGUCAGGAGUGAAAGGCUACGGCUCAACCGUAGUAAGCUCUUGAAACUGGAGGACUUGAGUGCAGGAGAGGAGAGUGGAAUUCCUAGUGUAGCGGUGAAAUGCGUAGAUAUGAGGAGGAACACAAGUAGCGAAGGGGGCUCUCUGGACUGUAACUGACGCCGGGGCACGAAAGUGUGGGGAGCAAACA
This 401-nucleotide ribosomal RNA is filed under the name uncultured prokaryote. RNAcentral describes it as "bacterial SSU rRNA". It matches the Rfam family "Bacterial small subunit ribosomal RNA", at positions 355 to 774 of the family's 1533-position model. The record is from RNAcentral.